This 433-nucleotide ribosomal RNA is filed under the name uncultured bacterium. RNAcentral describes it as "partial 16S ribosomal RNA". It matches the Rfam family "Bacterial small subunit ribosomal RNA", at positions 29 to 507 of the family's 1533-position model. The record is from RNAcentral.
AACGAACGCUGGCGGCAUGCCUAACACAUGCAAGUCGAACGAGACCUUCGGGCCGAGUGGCGCACGGGUGAGUAACGCGUGGGAACCUGGCCUUAGGUUGGGAAUAACUCCCCGAAAGGGGUGCUAAUAUCGGAAAAUGUCCUCGGACCAAAGAUUUAUCGCCUUUGGAUGGGCCCGCGUUGGAUUAGCUAGUUGGUAGGGUAAAAGCCUACCAAGGCGACAAUCCAUAGCUGGGCAGAGAGGAUGAGCAGCCACACUGUGGCUGGGAAGCGGCGCAGACUCCUGCAGGAGGCAGCAAUGGGGGAUAUAGGAAUAUCGCGUGUAUCAUGAUGGAGCUAUGCCGGGAGAGUGAUUACAGCGUUAGGGUUGUAAAGCACUUUUACCCGGGAUGAUAAUGACAUUACCGGGAGAAUAAGCACCGGCUAACUCCGUG